Molecule: long non-coding RNA, 412 nt
Filed under: Apteryx owenii (little spotted kiwi)
Lineage: Eukaryota; Metazoa; Chordata; Aves; Apterygiformes; Apterygidae
Description: lncRNA (ENSAOWG00000016530.1)
Source: RNAcentral
GUGACAGACUAGAAGGCCAUCCAUUAAUUUUUGUUUUGUUUAUUUUUAAAAAGGUGUGCGGCUGAUAUGGAGAAUAAGCCAAGUCAACCAGAUGAGUCAGCACAGGCAACAUGAAGGCUUCUCAUUUCCUUCUGGCAUAAUUGCACCAUGAGAGUCACAGAACACUUCAAAUACAAUGAUGGUGAGAGCAACAUGUAUCAAAAAAGUGCAAACCAGACAGAUGUUUGCAUCUGAAAUGACCCUCACAAUGGCCACUGCUGUGGAUUCCUGAUGAGAUUAACAAAGAGGUCAAAUAUUGAGCUGACAUGGAGAAUAUCCUACUCUUAGAUCAAGACUGAGGCCUUUGAAAAGAAAGUGUGUAAAUGCUGGAAUUGAUGCCACCUUGGUUUAACAUCUGUGGAUAGAUGCAAGA